UAAGCGNAGAAAAAGAAACUAACAAGGAUUCCCCUAGUAACUGCGAGUGAAGCGGGAAAAGCUCAAAUUUAAAAUCUGGUGGUCUUUGGCCAUCCGAGUUGUAAUUUAGAGAAGCGUCUUCCGCGCUGGGCCGUGCACAAGUCUCCUGGAAUGGAGCGUCACAGAGGGUGAGAAUCCCGUCUUUGGCAUGGACACACCAGGGCUUUUGUGAUGCGCUCUCGAAGAGUCGAGUUGUUUGGGAAUGCAGCUCAAAAUGGGUGGUGAACUCCAUCUAAAGCUAAAUAUUGGCGAGAGACCGAUAGCGAACAAGUACCGUGAGGGAAAGAUGAAAAGCACUUUGGAAAGAGAGUGAAACAGUACGUGAAAUUGUUGAAAGGGAAACGCUUGAAGUCAGUCGCGUCGACCGAGACUCAGCCUUGCCUUGGCCUGGUGUACUUCUCGGCCGACGGGUCAGCAUCAAUUUUGCCCCUUGGAUAAUGAUGAGGGAAACGUGACACCUUUAUGGUGUGUUAUAGUCUCUUGUCGCAUGCAAGGGUCGGGAUUGAGGAACUCAGCACGCACCUUUGGGUGUCGNGGCUUUGCCCACGAUACGUGCUUAGGAUGUUGGCGUAAUGGCUUUAAACGACC
This 627-nucleotide ribosomal RNA is filed under the name uncultured Russulaceae. Its description in RNAcentral is "LSU rRNA". It matches the Rfam family "Eukaryotic large subunit ribosomal RNA", at positions 47 to 649 of the family's 3401-position model. The record is from RNAcentral. Lineage: Eukaryota; Fungi; Basidiomycota; Agaricomycetes; Russulales; Russulaceae.